RNAcentral lists this ribosomal RNA (357 nucleotides) under uncultured bacterium. RNAcentral's name for it is "bacterial SSU rRNA". It matches the Rfam family "Bacterial small subunit ribosomal RNA", at positions 28 to 380 of the family's 1533-position model. The record is from RNAcentral.
GAUGAACGCUAGCGGCAGGCUUAAUACAUGCAAGUCGAGGGGCAGCAUAAGUAGCAAUACUUGAUGGCGACCGGCAAACGGGUGCGGAACACGUACAGAACCUUCCUUCGAGCGGGGAAUAGCCCGGAGAAAUCCGGAUUAAUACCCCAUAGUAAAUUGAAAAGGCAUUCUUUUUAAUUUUAAAGUAUUUAUCACUUGAAGAUGGCUGUGCGCCUGAUUAGGUAGUUGGCGGGGUAACGGCCCACCAAGCCUUCGAUCAGUAACUGGUGUGAGAGCACGACCAGUCACACGGGCACUGAGACACGGGCCCGACUCCUACGGGAGGCAGCAGUAAGGAAUAUUGGUCAAUGGACGCAA